GGCUGCGGGAGGGCUGCGGUCCGUGUCGGCAGCUGCCGUGGCACCGAGCCCAGCGUAGGUGUGCGAGGCGGGGCGGCUUUCCCCGCGCGGUGCGUGGGGUAUGCACAUGGCUCGAGUGCCGUAAUAAGAGAGUAGCUUUGGCAGUGUAAGUUAACCCCUUCUUGAAACAACUUGUUUUUGGAAGACACGCUCUAUUGAGGUGUGCGGGCGGAUCACGCUGGUUUUGCUUCGUUUGUAUUACAUUAUUUGCGAGCUAAGGAUAGACAAAAGGCCUUGCCAAUGCUGCCAGUGGGCUGGGCAGAAGUCUGCUAGCUCCUAAAAAAAAUUAUAUACUUUAUUAUCAUCUGACCGUUGUCAUAAAAAACCCUCAAACUCUCAAAAACCCAACCCAAAGCAAAACAAGAAAAUGCUACUCCUUUCAAUGCCCCCCCGAUUGCUGUCAGCUGCAAGCAGUCAUCAAUACAUUCAGUGCUUGUGCGUGAAAGAUUACAGCCUUGUUGGCAGACAGAAGCAGCUAAACCAGCACAAAAAUCCCAAAGUUCAGGAGUGAACAGUGUCUUAAGAAUGCAUCCCUCUAGUGCUGAACAGCAUGGGCUUUUGGAACGGUGGAUCCUCGUUCAGCUGCACUGUGGCCAGGUGAAAGGGGUGCCUGGCUGCACCCCAGUCAUCAUUCCAGCAGAAGCUGCAGUAACUGCAGUGUUGAGGUUGGAAAGAGACAAUCUAAAAUCUGAAGGAUUUGUCCAAAUUCCAUGAAAAAAAUUGUAUCCAGAAAGCUUUCCAGGACCUGUGAGAUAGAUCUACAGAAUGGUCAGAUGGUUGGAGCAUUGAGACUCAGUAAGCUCCAAAUUAGGAAAAGCCAAGUAGGGAACUUGUAGUUGUUACUCUGACAAGUGCUCUGAGUGAGUACUUUCCUUUAUUGCACAAUCCACAUGAAUUAUUUAAACAUUUACAUUUAUUUAAAUUUACAUUAUUUAAAUUUUAUAUUUUGAUAAGUAUCUGUUGGAACUUGUUCCUUUUUGUAAAUGUUUGGGGUUUUUCCUCUCAUACAACUGGUAUGAGAGUGUUCCACUGUUUGUAUGUAGGUAGUCUUGAGAAGCAUUCACCAAUGAUAUAGUUUUUCUUAACAGUAAUUUCAAUAUCCCAAAUUUUAGGAAGGUAGAAGAAAAAUAAAAUGCACUUAUACAAAAAUCCUAGUUAUACAGAAUAAAAUCAAGUUUUCCUCCCAGAGUUUCCCCAAAGUUAAUAUAUCAGGCCUUAGCUACUACUUUAUAAUAACUACUGUUUGUUUUCAGUAGAAGCUGAGUAAAUGGUUUCUGAACUUUGUUCUGAGAAACAAUAAAUGUGGGCAAUUUCAAAUCAA
Cyanistes caeruleus (blue tit) is the source of this 1360-nucleotide non-coding RNA. The record is from RefSeq and is a predicted model, not a curated record. Lineage: Eukaryota; Metazoa; Chordata; Aves; Passeriformes; Paridae.